CAAGCCUGUGGGUAAAUCCAGGGCAGAGCCCAGCUGCUGCGGGGAGGGCAGGGGCUGCAGCUGGCUCCAGCUGCCGUGCCUUGGCCGGGGACAAAUUUCCCCGGGGAUGAGGAGCGCCGAGGGAGGGAAGGGGAGGAAGCGGGCUGGGGGAAGGUCAGUGCAAAUCCCCACGUUACCCGAGGCGGCUUUAACCCUUCGGGCGAACGGUGCCUCAUGGCCGAGCUCAGGGGUCCGAGCUGUCUGGGGAUGGGACGUUCGCUUAGACCUAUGCUAAAGGCUGUGAAGGCAGCAGAAGACUUUCAGAGUGACCUCUCUUUGGAAAGUGCUUAAUGCAGCUUGAGUGGCUUGUGUGUGUAGGAUUUUGCUGUUUUAUUCCCUGGAUUUGGAGGCUGCAGAGUUAUUUUAGGGGGAGAGAGAGAGAUGGGUGUGAAAUUGGCCUGCCUGCUCUGGUGGUGGUUGUGGUCUGGGUUGCUGUCUCUGCACUUACAAAGAGCUCUCUGAAAUGCAUGUUUGGUCACCAGCUCUGUUUCUCCCUCUGUCAGGAUGAAUGAGCAACUGGGACGUGGUGGAGCUACCUGCAGAGUAGCAGUAGAAGUAUGGGAGCCUAACUUUAAAGACAGGAAAGAGAGAAAUCUUGUUGCACUACCUUAAAAUCUGCAUGCAUAAUUUUUUAAACUUUUGGUUCAAGCCUGUAACCCCUUCCUUGGCAUCUCCUUUUUGCCCAUCCUACUGCUAGCUAGUGUAACCAGCAGCUUUUGAAAGCAGCUGUCUUUUUAUGACAUAGAAAACUCCUUUGUUCUACUGCCCAAUUUCAAGUCUCUGACAGCCUUAGGUAGUGUUGAUAAUGUUGUAAAUAGAGGUACUUUGAGUGCUUUGCAAAAGCAAAUGUGUUACUUGCCUCAUUGACCUGUUUUGAAGUUUUAAUAUGAUCCCAACUUUUAUAAAGAGUGGGAGGGGGAUUGGACAUGAAAAUAUGCACAGAAAUGACACAGGAAGAUAAUACAUCUGAGUAGAGUACAGUAAUUACUAAUUUAACACGUGCCCACUUAACAUGUUUUUUGCAAUAGCUCAAUUUUUUUUAGGUGAACGUUUUUUGAAUAACACAACUGUCCUUGAAAUAACCUGAAAAUAAUCAAGUGGCGGACUACUUCAUGCGGUGGUAUAAAUUGGUGAAAACAGUGGUAAUACACAUGAGCGGAUGAAUACACAUGGUCACAGCGCUCCUCCGGUCACUCACAUGUUUAUCUUUGUGUUUUAACAAACCGUGGCGACUUGUGUUGCUAGAUAUUUUGUGUUGCUAGACAUCUAAUGCUGACGUUAAUGACUGAAAAUCAACAAAAAUUGAAUUUGCACCCUCAUCUUUUCCAUUAUUUUUAAUGGGAAAAUUGACCCUGCAUAGCACAUUUUCGCUUAGCACGAACAUUUUCAGAAAUGCAUCUUUAGUGUUAAAUGAGGAAUGACUGUACCCCUAACCACUUCUAUGUGCUUCCUCCCAAUACAAACCUGGCAAAAGCUAGUUUUAUUAGAUGUAAGACAAUUCCCCUUCCAAGUAAUUUUGUAUAGUAAAUCAUCUGCUUUUAAUGUAAAUCUUCUUUGGUAAGAGAUGGUGUUCCCCCUUUGUAGACUUGGAAAUAUCCACUGCCAGACUCCCAAAUGCUAUCCUUUUCCAAGUCACACCUGCCUAUUUUGUACGGUAUUGGGAACGCAGUUUUUGUACAAGGCAGUGGUGAUGGAUGUGAUCAUCAGAGGAUAGUGUGAAUAUACAUUGUAAAUAAAAUUUUCUUAAGUUCAUGAAUAUGAUUCUUGUUCAAAAACAAAUUCUUACUGAGCACACGGAUCCAGCAUUCUCAUCCAAGAGCUGUUCUAAGGUAUUUCUGUAGCUCAGUUUGUAGCUGUCAGCCAGCUAGUGUAAAAGGAGUGUAUGUUAUGGGAUAAUGUCAAGGGAAUAGCGAGUCAAUAAAAUACUGUCCAACAUUAUGAAAGUUGGUCAGAUGUAAAAAAGGACUGGCAGCUAUAAUGUGGAGACCAUAUCCCACCAUAAAAGAUCUGAUUGAUACAUGGAGGGUCUCUUGGGACACUACUAAAUUAUACUUUAUUUGUGGUGCAUAUGACUAAGGAUGGUCAUCCAAUAACUAAAACAACGAGUCCUGUGGCACCUUUAAGACUAACAUUUAUUUGGGCAUAAGUUUUCCUGGGCAAAGAUCCACUUCGUCAGAUGCAUUUAGCUGUUGAUUCUGGGCUGGUUUAUGAUAGUGGUUAAAGGUUAAACAAAAUACUGAAAUCAGACUAAAGAGAAAACUACUAACUACUAACCGAUUUCCGUUCCUCAUUCCAAAGACACUCUUUAUGCAGCGUGUCUAGCAGGAAUUGUUAUUCCGUAGCCCAAAGCAUUUUAUCAUGAAGAACAGCUACUGUGUGCACUUGGAGUUCUGGUCUAAAAUUCUGAACGUUGACCACUUGGAGCACAAAACAGAAUGCUACUUGUUCCCUGGGGAAAUGUUUUAACAAACUUGUACAGCACAAAAAGAACAAUGCAAUAAGACAGCUUUAAUGUCAUCCCAACUAUGUAGACUGGCUUCUGGGCAAUCUUAAAGGUCUUUCCUUUCACUGUGUGUGCUGCUUGGAUUUCCAGUAAUCCACUUGUUUGGAGCAGAGAUUGAUGUGCUUCCAUUACUCUUUGUUAAACUUAAACUUGUGUUUCUUCAGCGUGCAAUGGUAUUGCAACGUUUUUGGUGGUGGAUGCUGUCUUCUAUCACUGCAGCUCUGAAGGUCUCAUUCUCGUUUUCCCUGCUCUGCCUCCCACCCUCUACCCUCUUUUGAAGAGCACUAAAUAGCAGAAUUCAUUAUUUGGUUAUAAUCUAAUUGCAUUUAAGUUGUGUCCCUUGAAUGGAAAUUUUGUUUUGCUUCUGUGCUGUUGUUUCUUGUUCUCUUUGUUUGCACUAUAUGGAUUAUUUUUUUCUGAAAGUUGUGGUUGAACAUUGCCUGGCUGCUGAGAUGCUGAUAGUCAUGGGUCAAGAAUGCUGUGGGACCAUGCUAGAAGGAAAGCUUGUCAUGCUACAUCAGUUCUCCUGUGGAGUACCCCUGCCACGUUCUGAACCUUUCCUGAACUGAAGUAGACAGUUUGUCAAAUUGUUGUUGGCUUUUUGCAGAGUCUGCACUCACAAAGAACUCUGUGAUGUGGAAUUUUUCCACUGGGGAUUCAGAUGAGACCACAACUCAUUUUUCAUGUUGAAAGUAACAAGAGUUGAACCCAGAUCUAGAAAUAAAAGAACUAUUUCUCAGGAAAGGAACUUCGACUUCCCAUCUGUUUCCAGUCCCUCGUGUAUGGGAGUGACUCAUCACAGUUGAAUCCCCCAAAUUGGUUAGUCUUAUAGCAAGCCGGAGUGUAGGCUGCGUCGCGGUUGGUUCUCGAGCUGACAUGGUGGAGGAUCACUGUGGGCUCCACGGAGUGUUACAUUGUGCAUGAAAUCUACAAUGGGGAGAAUGCUCAGGACCAGUUUGAGUAUGAGCUGGAGCAGGCUCUGGAAGCACAGUACAAAUACAUAGUGAUAGAACCC
Pelodiscus sinensis (Chinese soft-shelled turtle) is the source of this 3557-nucleotide non-coding RNA. NCBI's taxonomy places the organism in Eukaryota, Metazoa, Chordata, Testudines, Trionychidae. The record is from RefSeq and is a predicted model, not a curated record.